AGACACGGGAACCUGCCCUGCUGCACCCGGAGGCGCUGCAAAUGCCUGAGGAGACAGGGCGAGGGGAGUGGAGCGGUUGCCUGGAGAAAUCAAGACGGAGCAAGGGCUGAGGAAGACCACGGGCAGCGGGGAAGGUCGAGCAACAGGGAGCGUGCGGCUGUGCUGCAGCCUGCCCCGGGCGGGGGACAAGCACCGGCCCUUCCCAAUGCAUCUCCCUCAUCCAGGCCUGUCAUUAGCCCCGGAGGAGAGGGGAGAUGCUGCCCCCUGCCCCACAGCUGACCUUGGUGUGUCCUGGAUGGCACCCACAUCAUGCAGCAGAGCUCACCCCACUCGUACCGCCGGCAGGGGAGAUUUCCAGGAGAGGGGUCCACAUCCAUCCCAUCUUUGGUGGCUCUUCAUCAGGAAGGCACGAGACGCGCGGACAGGAAAUGAUUUCAGCUGUCAAACUGCUUUGUGGCAGGUGCCACAGAGUGACGGGGUAAGCUGUUUUGGUCUCCGUCCUCGAUGCUGCUACAUCCGUCCAUGUCCCCGUGCUGCAGGGAUCCCCUUUGCCCUGCCUGGCCUGGCAGCAAUGCCGUAGAUAGAAGUCAAAAGCCUGGAUGGUCUCUGCCAGCUGCGUCACCCGUCCCGAUGCCGUGCCGCCCGUGGCGGGUGCCUGCUUUGCACCGUGACCAGCCCAGGGCCUGCCGUCAGCUCCCUUUGCUCCUGCAAAGCCUCUGAUGCUCCACUCCGUGUUGGAUCCGAGGAUCUUUGAGGAAGCCUGUGGAGCAGUGGAGCUCCUGGCCAGCACUUUGCCCCUUCGCACUCUGUGGCCACCAGGUUGGUUGAACCCGGUCCUGCAUGGAUGCUUCUGGUUAGCGCUGAGAUACAAUGUUUAAUGCAGAAGUGGGAUUGCUUCUCUCACAGCUGAGUAUUUAACGAGUUUUCUCCUAGCGACCCGCAGUGGGAAGGAUGCUGGCCAGCAUCCUCGGGAAGGGGCGCCGGUCCUCACCCAGGACUCAUCUCCCAGCGCCUGCUCCGUCCCACGAGCAGUGCGACGACUGGGUGAGAGCACAGCCGGGGCCGGGGCCCAGGCCAAGGUGGGCUUGAGGAGAGCGGUUUUAUCCCCACUGCUGAGCACCCUUUGCCAGGCCAUGAUGGCCUAGGGGACUGGAUGUGGCCGUGAUGCGGAUGGAGGCAGAGGGAAGCGAGGCUCCUUCUCUCCACCUUGCUUGGGAGAAGGCUCGUACACCCACCGCUCUGCUCUUGGACCUGGUGCCGUGACCUCCAGGCUGCAGGCUCUCUGGAGAAGACAAAAGAUGCUCUCUGUGUGCGGAAACUGAGGCAGCAUCAGCAGACACCACUCGCACUGAGUCGUGCAAGAAGCCAAGGGUUAAAUACGGCAAUUAAAUGCCCCCUCCUCUCCUUCCUGCCCCCGGAUCCAGCUGCUAGAGCGAGCUGGACCUCCCCGAGGGAGCGUGUCCUGGGCUCGGGGUUAUGCGCAG
This is a non-coding RNA of Struthio camelus australis, 1484 nucleotides long. Lineage: Eukaryota; Metazoa; Chordata; Aves; Struthioniformes; Struthionidae. The record is from RefSeq and is a predicted model, not a curated record.